RNAcentral lists this ribosomal RNA (461 nucleotides) under uncultured bacterium. RNAcentral describes it as "partial 16S ribosomal RNA". It matches the Rfam family "Bacterial small subunit ribosomal RNA", at positions 338 to 795 of the family's 1533-position model. The record is from RNAcentral.
CCUACGGGUGGCUGCAGUGAGGAAUAUUGGUCAAUGGGAGAGAUCCUGAACCAGCCAAGCCGCGUGAGGGAAGACGGCCCUAUGGGUUGUAAACCUCUUUUGUCGGAGAACAAAACCCGGGACGUGUCCCGGCCUGCGUGUAUCCGACGAAAAAGCAUCGGCUAACUCCGUUUCAGCCGCCGCGGUAAAACGGGGGAUGCAAGCGUUAUUCGGAUUUAUUGGGUUUAAAGGGUGCGUAGGCUGUGAGGUAAGUCAGCGGUGAAAUGCCCCCGCUCAACGGGGUGAAGUGCCAUUGAUAGUGCCUUGCUGGAAUGCGGAUGCCGUGGGAGGAAUGUGUGGUGUAGCGGUGAAAUGCAUAGAUAUAACACAGAACACCGAUUGCGAAGGCAUCCCACGAAUCCGCGAUUGACGCUGAUGCACGAAAGCGUGGGUAUCAAACAGGAUUAGAUACCCUAGUAGUC